Molecule: ribosomal RNA, 425 nt
Filed under: uncultured bacterium
Lineage: Bacteria
Description: partial 16S ribosomal RNA
Rfam family: Bacterial small subunit ribosomal RNA
Source: RNAcentral
UGGGGAAUAUUGGACAAUGGGGGCAACCCUGAUCCAGCAAUGCCGCGUGUGUGAAGAAGGUCUUCGGAUUGUAAAGCACUUUCGACGGGGACGAUGAUGACGGUACCCGUAGAAGAAGCCCCGGCUAACUUCGUGCCAGCAGCCGCGGUAAUACGAAGGGGGCUAGCGUUGCUCGGAAUGACUGGGCGUAAAGGGCGUGUAGGCGGUUUACACAGUCAGAUGUGAAAUCCCCGGGCUUAACCUGGGAGCUGCAUUUGAUACGUGUAGACUAGAGUGUGAGAGAGGGUUGUGGAAUUCCCAGUGUAGAGGUGAAAUUCGUAGAUAUUGGGAAGAACACCGGUGGCGAAGGCGGCAACCUGGCUCAUGACUGACGCUGAGGCGCGAAAGCGUGGGGAGCAAACAGGUUAGAUACCCUGGUAGUCCAC